CAGUUCACCUGGCAGGGGAGACACCAUGAUCAAUCAGGUGGUUUUCCCAGGGCAGGUGAUUGUCUCUGAUAUGUCUCCAUCGGAGGUCUAUAUUGAGCAGAUUCUUUUUGGUGUUGGGUGGUGGAACCAGAGCUUGCUCCAUCCACUC
Molecule: small nuclear RNA, 148 nt
Filed under: Crocodylus porosus (Australian saltwater crocodile)
Lineage: Eukaryota; Metazoa; Chordata; Crocodylia; Crocodylidae
Description: U1 spliceosomal RNA (ENSCPRG00005018705.1)
Source: RNAcentral